UCCUAGGCUUGAUAUUCCUUUUACAAGGGGUAGUAAGCCAUCCAUCUAUCCACCAUGUGAAAACACUCCUUGACCUUGUAUUCUGCCGCGAAAUGUCCUGCUCCCUGUACGAUACACCCCGAGAAGUCAAAGGAAACAUGUCAAAAAGUGCCCCAGUUAUUAGGUUACGUUGAGAGAGUAUGCUCGUGUACUUCGAUAUUCUUAUGUACGGCACACGGCGCUUGCGUGCAUGAGGCCAGGAAAUUGAAGAAAAAUUUGAAGGACAUACCCUGCUGUCUGGCCGUCCACAGACCACACCCUCCAACUCUCAUCUAAAGUCAGAUUCAGAGCGUUUAUCCAGGCUUGAGUACCGAUGUGCGGGAUUGACAUAUCAUGAUCCCCACUGCACCAGAAUGACAAAUUUAUAGACACAGUGAAGUGAAAAAGUAAUAGAGGGAUUCGAAAUCCGAAGGCGUUCUUGAUAACGAAACAUGAAAAGAAAAUGCCAUUCGGUACCUGAAGAUGAGAGCCCGUACGUUUGCCUUGGUGAGGUUUUUGUGAUAAUCGACGACGCUGCUAACGACCUUCGUGUAAGCUAAUGUCAUGUUGCAGUAUGGCCAGUAGGUCGUUGUCCCCUGCUCAGCGACAUGCAUACACAUGCAUCGGAAAUUCCAGCAUGUUUAGGUUGGACGCCGGAUCAUGGCAUGGUAAAUUUAGAAGUGUUCGAUGAUGGAACGUGGGCAUCAAUCGAACUACUGUAUUGCUGAGAACGAGUGCGUGCAUGCGCGAAGGUGUGUACAUGGAUGUUUGUUAAUGAGAAAGCAUCUUAUGUUGAGACA
Molecule: long non-coding RNA, 818 nt
Organism: Syzygium oleosum
Lineage: Eukaryota; Viridiplantae; Streptophyta; Magnoliopsida; Myrtales; Myrtaceae
Exons: 2
Source: RefSeq, a predicted model, not a curated record